AAAAAAAAAAAAAAAAAAAGAGCAAAAUUAUGUUAAAAGCAACUGGAAGAUCAAGCAUGGAGGUGCUUGCAUUACAGGCUUACAGCACUUAUCAUGAAAGGCCCUUUGUUACACAUGCAAAUUUUAUAUAGCCCUUUGCCCCAGAUACACAUUGGCUAUCUACAUGAAGAAACAAGAACAUUGAAGAAGAAGGCCUACCCAGUCAUAGUAACUAGCUCCACAUUCAACUGCAUAAACUUCCUUGAUAAUUUCCUCCACAUUGCCGUAUUAUAAUACUUCCUAAUUACCUAAAUCCUGAAGGAGCUGCUCUCGGUCCAGCAGCUGCUGCUCUCAUGGCUUUUGAUUGAGCAAGCAAUGCAUCAUAAUCCCGCUUCUCAAACGCAUCAUCGCUUGAGUCGACUAUUUUAUCUGCAAGGCCAUAGUCUAUAGCUUCUUGUGCUUUGAAAUAUUUAGGUCGCUGGAUGUCUUUAUUAAUUUCUUCCUUUGUCUUUCCAGUUCCCUUUGCUAGCAGUUCAAUGUAAUACUCAGUAUUUGCAUCAAGUUCCUUGGCCUUAAUCCACAUAUCUAUCACAGCCCCACUUGAUUUGUUAACUUUUGGCAGAUACAACUUGGCUGAAUUUGAAAAUGACAUUGUUAGAGGACAUGGUACAAAGUGUAUGAUAUCAACUUGUAUUUUCUGAAUCCCAUUCCAAAUUCAACAGAGCAACAAGCAAUUCAUCAUCUCAGAAGAUUAAUCAAUUUUGUGCUCAGCACCAAAAGCAAUAAUAAUUUAACAUUAAAAAAAAAAUUAAAAGCAAAAUCACAGAGAGAGAAUUUGGUAGUGUUUUGGGAGGGGAGGGCUAGCAAGAUGGAAAUAAACUAGCAGGCAGUGAAAACACAAAAAUCAUAGUUAAAUCCUAUUUAAAGGUUGUAUGACUUAACAUCAGUCUGUCCAGUUGUUUCCACACAUACUUUCCUCAAGAUUAUAUUUGAGAGGUCAUCUUAUCCAUAAAAUUAGAACUUUACAAGAUAAGGUUUGAAGAGUGUGAAGGGAGUGAUUUUAAAACCAUAAUCCAGUAAAAGGCUCCCUGACUAUUAAUUUGUUAAACAGUAAAAGAAAAAUGAGAAAAAUCACAUUACUGCUCCCUAAUAGGUUCAAGAUUGCAAAAUACGUCCACCAAAGAUGCCAUGCUAAUAUUUUAAACUUCAAGGAAAAGUAAGAUCAUACUGGAUGAGUUUGGCUGUAAAGCACGAUAACCCUUGGCACCUAGAGAUAGAAGCAUUGCUGCUUGACCAUAUGCCAUGCCACAAUUCACGGUAUAGACAGUUGAUUUGCAAUAAGCCAUGGCAUCAGCAAUCGCAUAUGCCUCCGUUUCAGAACCAACAGUUUCCAUCUUCUCAUUCUGUGUCCCAGAUGAGUUUAUGUACAGAUAUAUAGGCUUUGAAGAGUCAUCAUAAUCCAAAUACAUAAACUGAGCAACAAGAAGCUCAGUGACUGCUGGUACAAUUGGCAUUCCCAGAUAGCAUAUCCGAGCAUCUAAGAGCAAAGAAGGCAAAUCAGGAGGAGCACUCCUAGGCCUCCCAUAUCCUCUGCCUCCUCCACGGUACAUGCUUACACUCAUGCUGUAUUUUAAAGGACCACUAUCCAUCAUGCCUGAUACACUGUACAUUCCUCCAUGAUCCAAGUAAUUCUUUCGAGAAGAUAUGCUUUCCUCUGUAACACUUUCUGACUGUCGACGGACAGGAUUAUCUUCAGUCAUGAACAUGUCCAGUUGUGAAGGAGUAAGGCCAUAAAGAUGUCGUGGUACAUUCUUGUAAUUUUCCAUCACUCCAUCCUUGAGAUUUUCUUGUCUGAACUGGUUGGGUAUGUGGUCGAAAGACUUCCCUGAUGCAGAAGGGGGCUUGUAGCAUCUCUGUUGAACCAGUCUCUGUUUUCUUGGAUUGGUUAAGAAGACAAGCUUGGUGUUAGAGAGGAAAGAGGAUUUUGGGAACCCAGUCGAGGGACUCGCCAUUUCAGGAGUUGGAGCAGAGAGCUGAGAUAAGAGAGAGGUUGCCAUGUUCCUCUAUAAACACAAGACUGAAAGUUGCUCUCAAUCCGAAGUCUCUUUGCGCAUCCGCAGGAGAGGGACGAUAGGAAAGCUUGAG
RNAcentral lists this unclassified non-coding RNA (2124 nucleotides) under Hevea brasiliensis (rubber tree). The record is from RNAcentral. Lineage: Eukaryota; Viridiplantae; Streptophyta; Magnoliopsida; Malpighiales; Euphorbiaceae.